This is an RNA transcript of Pyrus x bretschneideri (Chinese white pear), 2916 nucleotides long. It is a transcript of the gene named outer envelope pore protein 16-4, chloroplastic, with no coding region annotated. The record is from RefSeq and is a predicted model, not a curated record. The transcript is spliced from 7 exons. NCBI's taxonomy places the organism in Eukaryota, Viridiplantae, Streptophyta, Magnoliopsida, Rosales, Rosaceae.
GAUCGGUUACGAUGAGUCAAGGGUCCACGGCGUCGUUUCGGCACCUGAGUAACGGAGUAUUGCUUGGGAAGGCGGGAGCGGAACUGAUAGAUGGAGGGAGAGCCGUACGACGUCGUGCCCUGCUCCUCCGUCGCCGUCGAUUCCAUCCUCCGCAUCGGAACGGCCGGUGCAAUUUGGGGCCUAUGUUCCGGUCCCCACGAUGCUCGUAAACAAGGCUUGACUGGAGCAGCUCAGGCGGCUUUUGUGGCGAGGUCGGCUGGAGCGUGUGGAGUGCAAUAUGGACUCGUUGCUGGGAUAUGUACUGUUACUCAUUGUGGGCUUCAAAGAUAUCGGGGAAAGAGUGAUUGGGUUAGUGAAUGGUUUGGUUGCUGGUGCAGUAGCAGGGGGAGCCAUUGCCGCUAUGACACGAAGCUGGACGCAGGUGAUUCCUAUGGCUUGUCUGGUGUCUGCUUUCAAAGUUGCCACUGACUAUGCUAGAGCAAUUUGAAAUACCUCCUGGUGGAAGACUGCGGAGGAGCGCAUCUGAGAGGAGGUUGUUCUCCUCUCCUUACAUCAUAUGUUCCCUUUAAUGCAUACUUAAUCGAGAAUGAAUGCCCUUCAACCGAUAAACCCCUUCAGUCUUUGAAUUCUGGGUGAAACUAAACCAGGUGAGCAUUGUACAUGCUGAUACCCGAAAAACCAAAAAACACACACGAAAGAACAGGCAAAUCUCUGUUUAUAAUUAGUCAACUUAGACAUUACUGCAAUAUUAUAGAGCUUUUAUCUUCGUUUUUCUGUAAGUUUAUUUGUGAUUGCAUAAGAGACGGAGUUUCUACUCCGCGUAGGUUCAUACCAUGUCAAAACCAAGUGCAUAAAAUAACUAUUUACACUUGAACAUUGCGUUUUCGUGCAUCAUUGAUUCUGUUUGAGUUGGCUUCGAUACGAUUCUUGCUUGAUAUGUAAGUAUUAACAAGAAGCAGAUGAUGUAGGUUGUAAUUUGGUAAUUAGGAACCAAUGAGGGCCUAGGCUAUUUAUGUGAAAGAUAAUGAGUGACUAUCUUCUACCUGUUAACCUAAUUUUAUGAAGAAAGCAUGAGAAGUCAGUCUCUGGUUGAAUGAAUGAAUACGAGGUCAAUUGUUUAGGUGACGACUCAAUAAUUUGGUUCCUAUUUUGGGUGUAGGGGUUAUGCGGUUGGUGAAAUAUCAAAGUAUUUAUGAAAGAUUAUCAAAUUUAUUUUCAAGUAUUUUUUCUCUUUUCAUAUUAUACAAAGAUAUUUUAGGCCGAUAUUAGAAAUAAGGUUUAUUUUUAGCUAUGUCUCUUGAAACUCGAUUUUAAUCUCAUUUUGCUCCAUGUAACUCAAAAAUCGUCACUUUACUUUCUGAAACUCAUAGUUUGCUCCACUUUGCAUCUUGGAACUUGAUUUUGAUCUCAUUUUGCUCCCUAAAACUUCAAAAUCGUCUCAAUAAAACUUUAAAUUAGCUCCACAAUGCCUUACUGUUAGUUUCUUGUGUGCGUUUAAGUUGGGUGUGCAGGCUAAUUAAUUUUUUUAUCUCUUCAAUUUUUUUUUUAACUUAAUAUUCUUUGAUUGUUGGAUGUUAACUCAUGGAGAUUUAUAAUCAAAUUUAUUGCAUAUGUAGCAUAAUCUUAUUGGGUGUUGGAUCCCACAUAUGUUUUAAGAUGCGAUUUAUAAGUUUCAAGGAGAAGAGAAAGUAUACAAGUCAAAGUGAAACGUAUUUUGAGCUUUAAAAAAUAAAAUAAUGACUUUUAAGUUAUAGGACAAAAUAAAAUUAAAGUGCAGUUUAAGAGGGCGUAACUAAAAAUACAAGGUGGGUAAAAAAGAGAAGAGUGGUGGGUGGACUUGUCGCCAUUCAACAUUAAACAGGGCACCCUAAAGUAGAAAUGGUAGAUGGUACCCUAAAGUCAUUUCAAAGUCUUAUCAGAAUCUCUUGGUACCCUAAAGUAGAUGGGAGCAGGAUUCUCUACUAUUCUCUACUCUCCUAAUCUCUUUACCCUUCUAUGAUUUUCUAUUUGAACGGUUACGGUUAAACCGCGUCAACAUCUUAUAUUAAUUUUUUUAUAGAGAUAAUAAGACAAAAAACAAUGUUUGAGAGGACGGGAUGAAAGGAGAUGGGAAUAGGAGGGUAGAGAAUCCUCCUCCUAAGUGGACAGGGUGCGGGAGAAGGAUUAUUUCCCCUCCUAUUACCAUCAUCUUCCAUCAUCUCAUGUCACACUCUUCUUUUUGUCUUAUUCUCCAUAUAAAAAAUUCAAAACAAGAUGUAGAUGUGGCGUAAUCGCAACUGUUUAAAUAGGAGGGGAUAGAAGGGCAGAGAAUCCUACUCUAAGUAGAAAAUAGUGCCCUAAAAAUUAAAUGAUGUUAUAAAUUUAAGUAGGCACAAAGCAACUAUAUCAAAUGACUUUAAAAAGUUUGGUGCUUGGUUGGUGACACAAAUAAAUAAAUAGGUAUCAAAGCAAAAUGCAUAUCACCUAAAAGUAAAAGAUGGUGCUCCCGUAUAUACAACUAUACAAAUUAUACAUUUUUAAGGAUUUUUUCUUUCUUUUUUCCGUGAACUUUACUAUCAACUUUUUCACGGCUCGUGAUGCACUAAACGUCGAAACACAUAAUUGUUACGACACUAAUGCUUAGUUUUUUUUGUACAAACGACAAUGGAGGAUGCUCUGAUCGUCGGGUUGGCGUGCGGUUGGAGGCAUGGAAUUGGGUGAAUCUCGAAAUACUGUUGCAGAGGCGGCGGCUGUCGAAUUCUUGGUUCUGCCGGCGUUCUUGUGGUGUUUCUGUUUUGGGCCCACGUUGUGGGUUGGGCUUAGGUUUUGUUUGCUGGGCUGGUCCUUUUUGUUUGUAUAUGUACUUUUGUUUUUGGACCCUAGUUUGUUCAGGUUGUAAGUUUGUCUGUUUCUUGUGGUAAUAUAAUUACCUUUUUU